CAGUAGCCGCGGUAAUACGGAGGGUGCAAGCGUUAUCCGGAUUCACUGGGUUUAAAGGGUGCGUAGGCGGAUCUGUAAGUCAGUGGUGAAAUCUCCAGGCUUAACCUGGAAACUGCCGUUGAUACUAUAGGUCUUGAAUUUUGUGGAGGUUAGCGGAAUAUGUCAUGUAGCGGUGAAAUGCAUAGAUAUGACCCAGAACCCCGAUUGCGAAGGCAGGCUACUACGACUUGAUUGACACUGAGGCACGAGAGCAUGGGGAGCCAACAGGAUUAGAUACCCCAGUAGUCCCUGUCUCUUAUAA
This 301-nucleotide ribosomal RNA is filed under the name uncultured bacterium. Its description in RNAcentral is "partial 16S ribosomal RNA". It matches the Rfam family "Bacterial small subunit ribosomal RNA", at positions 509 to 809 of the family's 1533-position model. The record is from RNAcentral.